This 26-nucleotide non-coding RNA is filed under the name Rattus norvegicus (Norway rat). The record is from RNAcentral. Lineage: Eukaryota; Metazoa; Chordata; Mammalia; Rodentia; Muridae.
UCAAACAGAUACUUAUGAGAUGGGAA